CGCGUAGGCGGCCUGUUAAGUCGAACGUGAAAUCCCUGGGCUCAACCCAGGAACUGCGUCCGAUACUGGCAGGCUUGAAUCCGGGAGAGGGAUGUGGAAUUCCAGGUGUAGCGGUGAAAUGCGUAGAUAUCUGGAGGAACACCGGUGGCGAAGGCGGCAUCCUGGACCGGUAUUGACGCUGAGGCGCGAAAGCCAGGGGAGCAAACG
RNAcentral lists this ribosomal RNA (207 nucleotides) under uncultured bacterium. Its description in RNAcentral is "partial 16S ribosomal RNA". It matches the Rfam family "Bacterial small subunit ribosomal RNA", at positions 568 to 774 of the family's 1533-position model. The record is from RNAcentral.